RNAcentral lists this ribosomal RNA (1107 nucleotides) under Salmonella enterica subsp. enterica serovar Enteritidis. RNAcentral's name for it is "partial 23S ribosomal RNA". It matches the Rfam family "Bacterial large subunit ribosomal RNA", at positions 123 to 1269 of the family's 2925-position model. Lineage: Bacteria; Pseudomonadati; Pseudomonadota; Gammaproteobacteria; Enterobacterales; Enterobacteriaceae. The record is from RNAcentral.
GAAACCCAGUGUGACUCGUCACACUAUCAUUAACUGAAUCCAUAGGUUAAUGAGGCGAACCGGGGGAACUGAAACAUCUAAGUACCCCGAGGAAAAGAAAUCAACCGAGAUUCCCCCAGUAGCGGCGAGCGAACGGGGAGGAGCCCAGAGCCUGAAUCAGCAUGUGUGUUAGUGGAAGCGUCUGGAAAGGCGCGCGAUACAGGGUGACAGCCCCGUACACAAAAGCGCAUGUGCUGUGAGCUCGAUGAGUAGGGCGGGACACGUGGUAUCCUGUCUGAAUAUGGGGGGACCAUCCUCCAAGGCUAAAUACUCCUGACUGACCGAUAGUGAACCAGUACCGUGAGGGAAAGGCGAAAAGAACCCCGGCGAGGGGAGUGAAAAAGAACCUGAAACCGUGUACGUACAAGCAGUGGGAGCACAGGUUUACCUGUGUGACUGCGUACCUUUUGUAUAAUGGGUCAGCGACUUAUAUUCUGUAGCAAGGUUAACCGAAUAGGGGAGCCGGAGGGAAACCGAGUCUUAAUUGGGCGUUAAGUUGCAGGGUAUAGACCCGAAACCCGGUGAUCUAGCCAUGGGCAGGUUGAAGGUUGGGUAACACUAACUGGAGGACCGAACCGACUAAUGUUGAAAAAUUAGCGGAUGACCUGUGGCUGGGGGUGAAAGGCCAAUCAAACCGGGAGAUAGCUGGUUCUCCCCGAAAGCUAUUUAGGUAGCGCCUCGUGAAUUCAUCUCCGGGGGUAGAGCACUGUUUCGGCUAGGGGGCCAUCCCGGCUUACCAACCCGAUGCAAACUGCGAAUACCGGAGAAUGUUAUCACGGGAGACACACGGCGGGUGCUAACGUCCGUCGUGAAGAGGGAAACAACCCAGACCGCCAGCUAAGGUCCCAAAGUCAUGGUUAAGUGGGAAACGAUGUGGGAAGGCCCAGACAGCCAGGAUGUUGGCUUAGAAGCAGCCAUCAUUUAAAGAAAGCGUAAUAGCUCACUGGUCGAGUCGGCCUGCGCGGAAGAUGUAACGGGGCUAAACCAUGCACCGAAGCUGCGGCAGCGACACUGUGUGUUGUUGGGUAGGGGAGCGUUCUGUAAGCCUGCGAAGGUGGCCUGUGAGGG